Molecule: ribosomal RNA, 113 nt
Filed under: Luteibacter sp. UNCMF331Sha3.1
Lineage: Bacteria; Pseudomonadati; Pseudomonadota; Gammaproteobacteria; Lysobacterales; Rhodanobacteraceae
Source: RNAcentral
CCUGCUGGCGAUGGCCUCAGGCCGCACUGUCCUCAUCCCGCACGAAUUCGAUGAAGGCUCUCAGCGCCGAGGUUACCCGCCGCUGCCUGGGGUAAUACAGGACGAAGCCUGGA